GUGUCUCUAUCAGAGUUUGAUCCUGGCUCAGGAUGAACGCUGGCGGCGUGCCUAACACAUGCAAGUCGAGCGAUUCACUUCGGUGAAGAGCGGCGGACGGGUGAGUAACGCGUGGGUAACCUGCCUCAUACACAUGGAUAACAUACCGAAAGGUAUGCUAAUACAGGAUAAUAUAAGAGAUUCACAUGUAUUUCUUAUCAAAGCUCCGGCGGUAUGAGAUGGACCCGCGUCUGAUUAGCUAGUUGGUAAGGUAACGGCUUACCAAGGCGACGAUCAGUAGCCGACCUGAGAGGGUGAUCGGCCACAUUGGAACUGAGACACGGUCCAA
RNAcentral lists this ribosomal RNA (328 nucleotides) under uncultured bacterium. Its description in RNAcentral is "bacterial SSU rRNA". It matches the Rfam family "Bacterial small subunit ribosomal RNA", at positions 1 to 334 of the family's 1533-position model. The record is from RNAcentral.